GGGCGCAGGGUCCUCGGCACAGCUGACGGGUGCGCGCCGAGCUCCGCCGGGCGAAGGAAUUCCAGCCCCGCAAAAUGGCUCCAGAGUGUCUCCCGUGACUCGCUCGGUGGCUGCGGAAGGCAAGAGGAAUUCUUCACUGAUUAAAAUCUGGUUACAAAACAAGGGACCUAGAGAGAUGUUCACUUCACCACUUCUCUACAGAUGCCUCCUGCUGCUUCCAAC
RNAcentral lists this long non-coding RNA (222 nucleotides) under Homo sapiens (human). RNAcentral describes it as "HSALNT0306816". Lineage: Eukaryota; Metazoa; Chordata; Mammalia; Primates; Hominidae. The record is from RNAcentral.